Molecule: long non-coding RNA, 1327 nt
Organism: Numida meleagris (helmeted guineafowl)
Lineage: Eukaryota; Metazoa; Chordata; Aves; Galliformes; Numididae
Exons: 3
Source: RefSeq, a predicted model, not a curated record
GUUAAAUGCAUUUCUAAUCGCAGUAGACCAUAAGAAAUGUUAAAUUACAAACAGAGACAAUAUCGUUUUUGCCUGAUUCUUUAGUGUGAUCUGCUGUAGCUUCAACAUUGGAAAAUAGUACCCAAAACAGUACCAAAAGUACCCUGGUUCAACUUGAGUAGCUGUUUUAAGAACUCCACCCAGUUCAUGUCAACUGUGUUUCAUUAGGACUAAUUUCAGAGAGGGCUGGAGCCAGCCUCUAAAUCAGUAGCUUUGGUGUCAGAAGGGUUUGGUGUCCAGCAGCCUUGCUACUGAUAUUACUGGCAGGAGCUGGCUUUUGCAGUUGAUUAACUUGCUCUGUGGGUAGUCCUGCCAGAGGCUGCUUGGGUGCUGCUUGGCCACAACACAUCAAGUGAUGCAGGCUCAUGUAGCGCGUCGGCUGGCCUGUCACAGAGGAUGAAGAUAAUGGAAAGGGCACUGCCUUUUCUCUGUGUGGAAAUAGGAGAAAUAACUUGGGACUCCUGGACCUACGUUUAAUAAGUGUGAUAUUUCAUAUGUGCUCUGGAGAGUUGGGGCAGGGGGGAAAGGCUGGGUUGAGAAACCUGGGUGUAAGCAACUUCUAAUGUGGCAUAUUCACAUGCCGAAGUGAAUCAUUCUGGUUCAUUGGGUAAAUAUGUAUUAAAGUAAUUUUCAAAAUACUUCUACACAGCCAAUGAGCUGGAAAGGGUCAGUCCAACCAUGCAUUAUUUUUUAAUGCAUACACUUACUUAUUGAAGAGAAGGAGGAACACAAGAUCUUUCCGGUUAUUUGCCCAGCCAAAGGCAUCUUUAAUUUCUUCUGGCUCUGCACCUGCUUGGAAGGAGAGUCAGAACUGCUCAUGCCUGGCCUUGGGAGUGCUCAGUGAAGGGGUCCAGAUCUACUGCAACGGGACAAGGACUAUAACUGCAUCUUGCCCUCUCACCAUAUUUUGCAUGAAAUCUUGUGAGAUGGAAGGCCUUGGAGCAAGCCCAAGGAAAAUGGGUAAGACCCUGUUGUUUUGAGAAUGUUUCUAGGACUGAGCAUGAGCACAAACUCAGUGGCUUGGUGUUGAUUUUUUCGGGUGUGCAGAGCAGGACUAGAGCACCUGGAAACUUCCUAGCACCAUAGUGUAGAACCUGAUGAAUUCUGAUGAGCUGCGGUUACGCAGCAGAUGUGUGAUGGUUUUUCAGGAUCAUGGUAGAAAUUCCUUGUUUAAAUUCCUACUAGUUACAUCGUUAGGAGCCUAAAUUCAGUUUUGGAUGACAAUAUAAUGUGGAUGGAAGCCUUGUUUUUAAGGUUCAUUGCAGGAAAUUUGGAGUCAGUAGCAGAA